UUUCUUUGCUGGCGACCGGCGCACGGGUGAGUAACACGUAUCCAACCUGCCCCUUACUCGGGGAUAGCCUUCGAAAGAAAGAUUAAUACCCGAUAGCAUAAUGAUUCCGCAUGGUUUCAUUAUUAAAGGAUUCCGGUAAAGGAUGGGGAUGCGUUCCAUUAGGUUGUUGGUGAGGUAACGGCUCACCAAGCCUUCGAUGGAUAGGGGUUCUGAGAGGAAGGUCCCCCACAUUGGAACUGAGACACGGUCCAA
Molecule: ribosomal RNA, 252 nt
Filed under: uncultured bacterium
Lineage: Bacteria
Description: partial 16S ribosomal RNA
Rfam family: Bacterial small subunit ribosomal RNA
Source: RNAcentral